This 552-nucleotide unclassified non-coding RNA is filed under the name Metschnikowia sp. JSKim-2014. RNAcentral describes it as "partial contains 18S rRNA, ITS1, 5.8S rRNA, and ITS2". The stretch from base 202 to 355 matches the Rfam family "5.8S ribosomal RNA". The record is from RNAcentral. Lineage: Eukaryota; Fungi; Ascomycota; Pichiomycetes; Serinales; Metschnikowiaceae.
GGGUAUGCGGAAGGAUCAUUAAAGAGUAAGGGUGCUCAGCGCCCGACCUCCAACCCUUUGUUGUUAAAACUACCUUGUUGCUUUGGCGGGACCGCUCGGUCUCGAGCCGCUGGGGAUUCGUCCCAGGCGAGCGCCCGCCAGAGUUAAACCAAACUCUUGUUAUUUAACCGGUCGUCUGAGUUAAAAUUUUGAAUAAAUCAAAACUUUCAACAACGGAUCUCUUGGUUCUCGCAUCGAUGAAGAACGCAGCGAAAUGCGAUAAGUAAUGUGAAUUGCAGAAUUCAGUGAAUCAUCGAAUCUUUGAACGCACAUUGCGCCCCUUGGUAUUCCGAGGGGCAUGCCUGUUCGAGCGUCAUUACACCACUCAAGCUAUGCUUGGUAUUGGGCGUCGUCCUUAGUUGGGCGCGCCUUAAAGACCUCGGCGAGGCCACUCCGGCUUUAGGCGUAGUAGAAUUUAUUCGAACGUCUGUCAAAGGAGAGGAACUCUGCCGACUGAAACCUUUAUUUUUCUAGGUUGACCUCGGAUCAGGUAGGGAUACCCGCUGAACUUAA